RNAcentral lists this ribosomal RNA (253 nucleotides) under uncultured bacterium. RNAcentral's name for it is "partial 16S ribosomal RNA". It matches the Rfam family "Bacterial small subunit ribosomal RNA", at positions 524 to 776 of the family's 1533-position model. The record is from RNAcentral.
UACGUAGGUGACAAGCGUUGUCCGGAUUUACUGGGCGUAAAGAGCGCGCAGGCGGUCGAUCAAGUCGAGUGUGAAAGCCCCCGGCUCAACUGGGGAGGGUCAUUCGAUACUGAUCGACUCGAAGGCAGGAGAGGGUAGUGGAAUUCCCGGUGUAGUGGUGAAAUGCGUAGAUAUCGGGAGGAACACCAGUGGCGAAGGCGACCACCUGGACUGAUACUGACACUGAGGUGCGAAAGCGUGGGGAGCAAACAGG